Molecule: long non-coding RNA, 325 nt
Filed under: Mus spretus (western wild mouse)
Lineage: Eukaryota; Metazoa; Chordata; Mammalia; Rodentia; Muridae
Description: predicted gene 29005 (ENSMSPG00010000410.1)
Source: RNAcentral
AGUAAAACUUUAGCAACAUAACUAGAUAGUGGGCAAGGCCAUAAUGUACUAGAGGAAAGCCCUCUAGCAUGCUCUGCUGACUUCUGUGAGACUAGGAGCUUCAUCUUUGCCAGUCAUCUGUGACUGUCACUGGCACACUCUAGAAAUAAAUCCUGAGACCUUGUUCCUGCACCUGGGUAAUCAUAUUUACUGCAGUUCCCUAACAACAACAAAAAAAGAGCUAUGUCUUUUGUGGCAUCUUAACAAGUCUUGUGGUUCCCACAUAUUUCUGUAUCUGUUUGAUAUAAUUAUUGGGACUCACAGGAAAAUAAAUUUUAUACAGUAA